This 69-nucleotide transfer RNA is filed under the name marine eukaryotic metagenome. It matches the Rfam family "tRNA". From Rfam's summary of the family: Transfer RNA (tRNA) molecules are approximately 80 nucleotides in length. Their secondary structure includes four short double-helical elements and three loops (D, anti-codon, and T loops). The record is from RNAcentral.
CGAGGUAGCUCAGGGGUAGAGCAGUGGACUGAAAAUCCUCGUGUCGGUGGUUCAAAUCCGCCCCUCGGC